Molecule: ribosomal RNA, 1372 nt
Filed under: uncultured bacterium
Lineage: Bacteria
Description: bacterial SSU rRNA
Rfam family: Bacterial small subunit ribosomal RNA
Source: RNAcentral
GAUGAACGCUGGCGGCGUGCCUAAUACAUGCAAGUCGAGCGAACAGACAAGGAGCUUGCUCCUUUGACGUUAGCGGCGGACGGGUGAGUAACACGUGGGUAACCUACCUAUAAGACUGGGAUAACUUCGGGAAACCGGAGCUAAUACCGGAUAAUAUUUCGAACCGCAUGGUUCGAUAGUGAAAGAUGGUUUUGCUAUCACUUAUAGAUGGACCCGCGCCGUAUUAGCUAGUUGGUAAGGUAACGGCUUACCAAGGCGACGAUACGUAGCCGACCUGAGAGGGUGAUCGGCCACACUGGAACUGAGACACGGUCCAGACUCCUACGGGAGGCAGCAGUAGGGAAUCUUCCGCAAUGGGCGAAAGCCUGACGGAGCAACGCCGCGUGAGUGAUGAAGGUCUUCGGAUCGUAAAACUCUGUUAUUAGGGAAGAACAUACGUGUAAGUAACUAUGCACGUCUUGACGGUACCUAAUCAGAAAGCCACGGCUAACUACGUGCCAGCAGCCGCGGUAAUACGUAGGUGGCAAGCGUUAUCCGGAAUUAUUGGGCGUAAAGCGCGCGUACGCGGUUUUUUAAGUCUGAUGUGAAAGCCCACGGCUCAACCGUGGAGGGUCAUUGGAAACUGGAAAACUUGAGUGCAGAAGAGGAAAGUGGAAUUCCAUGUGUAGCGGUGAAAUGCGCAGAGAUAUGGAGGAACACCAGUGGCGAAGGCGACUUUCUGGUCUGUAACUGACGCUGAUGUGCGAAAGCGUGGGGAUCAAACAGGAUUAGAUACCCUGGUAGUCCACGCCGUAAACGAUGAGUGCUAAGUGUUAGGGGGUUUCCGCCCCUUAGUGCUGCAGCUAACGCAUUAAGCACUCCGCCUGGGGAGUACGACCGCAAGGUUGAAACUCAAAGGAAUUGACGGGGACCCGCACAAGCGGUGGAGCAUGUGGUUUAAUUCGAAGCAACGCGAAGAACCUUACCAAAUCUUGACAUCCUUUGACAACUCUAGAGAUAGAGCUUUCCCCUUCGGGGGACAAAGUGACAGGUGGUGCAUGGUUGUCGUCAGCUCGUGUCGUGAGAUGUUGGGUUAAGUCCCGCAACGAGCGCAACCCUUAAGCUUAGUUGCCAUCAUUAAGUUGGGCACUCUAAGUUGACUGCCGGUGACAAACCGGAGGAAGGUGGGGAUGACGUCAAAUCAUCAUGCCCCUUAUGAUUUGGGCUACACACGUGCUACAAUGGACAAUACAAAGGGCAGCGAAACCGCGAGGUCAAGCAAAUCCCAUAAAGUUGUUCUCAGUUCGGAUUGUAGUCUGCAACUCGACUACAUGAAGCUGGAAUCGCUAGUAAUCGUAGAUCAGCAUGCUACGGUGAAUACGUUCCCGGGUCU